Molecule: non-coding RNA, 86 nt
Organism: Alternaria ventricosa
Lineage: Eukaryota; Fungi; Ascomycota; Dothideomycetes; Pleosporales; Pleosporaceae
Source: the annotation of a RefSeq genome assembly
GGUUCGAUGGUGUAGUUGGUUAUCACGUUCGCCUCACAUCUUGUGUAGUCCGCGAAAGGUCGCGAGUUCGAGCCUCGCUUGAAUCA